RNAcentral lists this ribosomal RNA (253 nucleotides) under uncultured bacterium. RNAcentral's name for it is "partial 16S ribosomal RNA". It matches the Rfam family "Bacterial small subunit ribosomal RNA", at positions 524 to 776 of the family's 1533-position model. The record is from RNAcentral.
UACGGGGGGAGCAAACGUUGUUCGGAAUCACUGGGCGUAAAGGGCGUGUAGGCGGCUGAAUAAGUGGGAUGUUAAAUCCCCCGGCUCAACCGGGGACCUGCAUCUCAUACUGUUCAGCUCGAGCACAUCAGAGGAGACUGGAAUUCCCGGUGUAGCGGUGAAAUGCGUAGAUAUCUGGAGGAACACCGGUGGCGAAGGCGGCGUCCUGGACCAACACUGACACUGAGGAGCGAAAGCCAGGGGAGCAAACGGG